RNAcentral lists this ribosomal RNA (252 nucleotides) under uncultured bacterium. RNAcentral describes it as "partial 16S ribosomal RNA". It matches the Rfam family "Bacterial small subunit ribosomal RNA", at positions 524 to 776 of the family's 1533-position model. The record is from RNAcentral.
UACGUAGGGUGCAAGCGUUGUCCGGAAUUAUUGGGCGUAAAGAGCUCGUAGGCGGUGUGUCGCGUCUGCUGUGAAAACUCAGGGCUCAACUCUGAGCUUGCAGUGGGUACGGGCACACUAGAGUGCUGUAGGGGAGACUGGAAUUCCUGGUGUAGCGGUGAAAUGCGCAGAUAUCAGGAGGAACACCGGUGGCGAAGGCGGGUCUCUGGGCAGUUACUGACGCUGAGGAGCGAAAGCUGGGGAGCGAACAGG